This 392-nucleotide ribosomal RNA is filed under the name uncultured bacterium. Its description in RNAcentral is "partial 16S ribosomal RNA". It matches the Rfam family "Bacterial small subunit ribosomal RNA", at positions 523 to 918 of the family's 1533-position model. The record is from RNAcentral.
AUACGGAGGAUCCGAGCGUUAUCCGGAUUUAUUGGGUUUAAAGGGUGCGCAGGCGGCCAUUUAAGUCAGCGGUUAAAUCGUGGGGCUCCACCCCAUUCUGCCGUUGAUACUGGGUGGCUUGAUUGCGGUCGAGGUUGGCGGAAUUCGUUGUGUAGCGGUGGAAUGCAUAGAUAUGACGAAGAACACCGAUUGCGUAGGCAGCUGACCAGACCGCAAAUGACGCUCAUGCACGAAAGUGCGGGGAUCGAACAGGAUUAGAUACCCUGGUAGUCCGCACAGUAAACGAUGAAUACUUGUUUUCGGCGAUAUAAUGUCGGAGGCAAAGCGAAAGCGAUAAGUAUUCCACCUGGGGAGUACGCCGGCAACGGUGAAACUCAAAGGAAUUGGCGGGG